Molecule: non-coding RNA, 336 nt
Organism: Misgurnus anguillicaudatus (oriental weatherfish)
Lineage: Eukaryota; Metazoa; Chordata; Actinopteri; Cypriniformes; Cobitidae
Product: small Cajal body-specific RNA 7
Source: RefSeq, a predicted model, not a curated record
UGGAUAUGAUGAAAACAGAGGCGUGGCACUGGUUUGAGUGAUGCGUGAUUGGUUACAGCAACUUUAAUACAUAGAUGCAGUUGUAAUGUUUAAUUAUCUAAUCCUUUAACUAGAGUAAAUCGUGUGUGUGUGUGUGUGUGUGUGUGUGUGUGUCUGAUGGGUCAGGGUGUCAAAGGUCAUAGGUCACUGCUGAUACAGGAGUGCAUCUGAGGCAGCCGCUCACUCACACUGAGGCUUUUUUGCGGUCUAGCCGAUGAUUAGAGCCUCUGUAUCAUUCUGACCCUCGGCCGUCAGUGCCACGAUCUCAAAAGGGGCUCGCCCCGUGGUCUGAUCCGA